GACGAACUCUGGCGGCGUGCCUAAUACAUGCAAGUCGAGCGGACCGGAUUGGGGCUUGCCUUGGUUCGGUCAGCGGCGGACGGGUGAGUAACACGUGGGCAACCUGCCCGCAAGGCCGGGAUAACUCCGGGAAACCGGAGCUAUACCGGAUAACACCGAAGACCGCAUGGUCUUCGGUUGAAAGGCGGCCUUUGGGCUGUCACUUGCGGAUGGGCCCGCGGCGCAUUAGCUAGUUGGUGAGGUAACGGCUCACCAAGGCGACGAUGCGUAGCCGGCCUGAGAGGGUGACCGGGCACACUGGGACUGAGACACGGCCCAGACUCCUACGGGAGGCAGCAGUAGGGAAUCUUCCGCAAUGGGCGAAAGCCUGACGGGGCGACGCCGCGUGAGCGAAGAAGGCCUUCGGGUCGUAAAGCUCUGUUGUGAGGGACGAAGGAGCGCCGUUCGAAGAGGGCGGCGCGGUGACGGUACCUCACGAGAAAGCCCCGGCUAACUACGUGCCAGCCGCCGCAGUAA
RNAcentral lists this ribosomal RNA (516 nucleotides) under uncultured bacterium. RNAcentral describes it as "partial 16S ribosomal RNA". It matches the Rfam family "Bacterial small subunit ribosomal RNA", at positions 28 to 523 of the family's 1533-position model. The record is from RNAcentral.